Molecule: ribosomal RNA, 253 nt
Filed under: uncultured bacterium
Lineage: Bacteria
Description: partial 16S ribosomal RNA
Rfam family: Bacterial small subunit ribosomal RNA
Source: RNAcentral
UACAGAGGGUGCGAGCGUUGUCCGGAAUCACUGGGCGUAAAGGGCGCGUAGGCGGCCUGGUAAGUAGGGGGUGAAAUCUUGCGGCUCAACUGCAAGGCUGCCUCCUAAACUGUCAGGCUUGAGCACAGUAGAGGCAGGUGGAAUUCCCGGUGUAGCGGUGGAAUGCGUAGAGAUCGGGAAGAACAUCGGUGGCGAAGGCGGCCUGCUGGGCUGUUGCUGACGCUGAGGCGCGACAGCGUGGGGAGCAAACAGG